AAUAGAUACCCAGGUAGUCCACGCCGUAAACGAUGAGUGCUAAGUGUUAGAGGGUUUCCGCCCUUUAGUGCUGAAGUUAACGCGUUAAGUAUCCCGCCUGGGGAGUACGCUCGCAAGAGUGAAACCCAAAGGAAUUGACGGGGGGCUCACACAAGCGGUGGAGCAUGUGGUUCAAUUCGACGCAACGCGAAGAACCUUACCCAGGCUUGAACAGCGAGUGACCAACUCCGAAAGGGGUCUUCCGCAAGGACACUCGUAGAGGUGCUGCAUGGCUGUCGUCAGCUCGUGUCGUGAGAUGUUGGGUUAAGUCCCGCAACGAGCGCAACCCUCGUCCUAUGUUGCCAGCGGAUAAUGCCGGGGACUCAUAGGAGACUGCCGGUGACAAACCGGAGGAAGGCGGGGAUGACGUCAAAUCAUCAUGCCCCUUAUGACCUGGGCUACACACGCACUACAAUGGCCGGUACAACGGGCUGCGAAACCGCGAGGUGGAGCCAAUCCCAACAAAGCCGGUCUCAGUUCGGAUUGCAGG
RNAcentral lists this ribosomal RNA (529 nucleotides) under uncultured bacterium. Its description in RNAcentral is "bacterial SSU rRNA". It matches the Rfam family "Bacterial small subunit ribosomal RNA", at positions 777 to 1304 of the family's 1533-position model. The record is from RNAcentral.